Molecule: ribosomal RNA, 465 nt
Filed under: uncultured Klebsiella sp.
Lineage: Bacteria; Pseudomonadati; Pseudomonadota; Gammaproteobacteria; Enterobacterales; Enterobacteriaceae
Description: bacterial SSU rRNA
Rfam family: Bacterial small subunit ribosomal RNA
Source: RNAcentral
CCUACGGGGGGCAGCAGUGGGGAAUAUUGCACAAUGGGCGCAAGCCUGAUGCAGCCAUGCCGCGUGUGUGAAGAAGGCCUUCGGGUUGUAAAGCACUUUCAGCGGGGAGGAAGGCGUUAAGGUUAAUAACCUUGGCGAUUGACGUUACCCGCAGAAGAAGCACCGGCUAACUCCGUGCCAGCAGCCGCGGUAAUACGGAGGGUGCAAGCGUUAAUUGGAAUUACUGGGCGUAAAGCGCACGCAGGCGGUCUGUCAAGUCGGAUGUGAAAUCCCCGGGCUCAACCUGGGAACUGCAUUCUAAACUGGCAGGCUAGAGUCUUGUAGAGGGGGGUAGAAUUCCAGGUGUAGCGGUGAAAUGCGUAGAGAUCUGGAGAAAUACCGGUGGCGAAGGCGGCCCCCUGGACAAAGACUGACGCUCAGGUGCGAAAGCGUGGGGAGCAAACAGGAUUAGAUACCCGGGUAGUC